AGUGAACGCUGGCGGUAGGCCUAACACAUGCAAGUCGAACGGCAGCACAGUAAGAGCUUGCUCUUACGGGUGGCGAGUGGCGGACGGGUGAGGAAUACAUCGGAAUCUACUUUUUCGUGGGGGAUAACGUAGGGAAACUUACGCUAAUACCGCAUACGACCUACGGGUGAAAGCAGGGGAUCUUCGGACCUUGCGCGAUUGAAUGAGCCGAUGUCGGAUUAGCUAGUUGGCGGGGUAAAGGCCCACCAAGGCGACGAUCCGUAGCUGGUCUGAGAGGAUGAUCAGCCACACUGGAACUGAGACACGGUCCAGACUCCUACAGGAGGCAGCAGUGGGGAAUAUUGGACAAUGGGCGCAAGCCUGAUCCAGCCAUACCGCGUGGGUGAAGAAGGCCUUAGGGUUGUAAAGCCCUUUUGUUGGGAAAGAAAAGCAGCAGGUUAAUACCCCGCUGUUCUGACGGUACCCAAAGAAUAAGCACCGGCUAACUUCGUG
This 492-nucleotide ribosomal RNA is filed under the name uncultured bacterium. RNAcentral's name for it is "partial 16S ribosomal RNA". It matches the Rfam family "Bacterial small subunit ribosomal RNA", at positions 29 to 507 of the family's 1533-position model. The record is from RNAcentral.